AGAGCGAACGCUGGCGGCAUGCUUAACACAUGCAAGUCGCACGGGCAGGGGAAACCCUGUCAGUGGCGGACGGGUGAGUAACGCGUAGGUAUCUAUCCUUGGGUGGGGGACAACUGUGGGAAACUACAGCUAAUACCGCAUGAUAACUGAGGUUUAAAGGCGCAAGUCGCCUGGGGAGGAGCCUGCGUACGAUUAGCUAGUUGGUGGGGUAAAGGCCCACCAAGGCAACGAUCGUUAGCUGGUCUGAGAGGAUGAUCAGCCACAUUGGGACUGAGACACGGCCCAAACUCCUACGGGAGGCAGCAGUGGGGAAUAUUGGACAAUGGGCGAAAGCCUGAUCCAGCAAUGCCGCGUGUGUGAAGAAGGUCUUCGGAUUGUAAAGCACUUUCGACGGGGACGAUGAUGACGGUACCCGUAGAAGACGCCCCGGCUAACUUCGUGCCAGCAGCCGC
RNAcentral lists this ribosomal RNA (452 nucleotides) under uncultured bacterium. Its description in RNAcentral is "SSU rRNA". It matches the Rfam family "Bacterial small subunit ribosomal RNA", at positions 26 to 518 of the family's 1533-position model. The record is from RNAcentral.